RNAcentral lists this ribosomal RNA (253 nucleotides) under uncultured bacterium. Its description in RNAcentral is "partial 16S ribosomal RNA". It matches the Rfam family "Bacterial small subunit ribosomal RNA", at positions 524 to 776 of the family's 1533-position model. The record is from RNAcentral.
UACGUAGGGCGCAAGCGUUAUCCGGAAUUAUUGGGCGUAAAGAGCUCGUAGGCGGUUUGUCGCGUCUGCCGUGAAAGUCCGGGGCUUAACCCCGGAUCUGCGGUGGGUACGGGCAGACUAGAGUGCAGUAGGGGAGACUGGAAUUCCUGGUGUAGCGGUGAAAUGCGCAGAUAUCAGGAGGAACACCGAUGGCGAAGGCAGGUCUCUGGGCUGUAACUGACGCUGAGGAGCGAAAGCAUGGGUAGCGAACAGG